GAUGAACGCUGGCGGCGUGCUUAACACAUGUAAGUCGAACGAAGCACUUUAACCUGAUUCUUCGGAUGAAGGUUUUUGUGACUGAGUGGCGGACGGGUGAGUAACGCGUGGGUAACCUGCCUCAUACAGGGGGAUAACAGUUAGAAAUGACUGCUAAUACCGCAUAAGACCACAGAGCCGCAUGGCUCGGUGGGAAAAACUCCGGUGGUAUGAGAUGGACCCGCGUCUGAUUAGGUAGUUGGUGGGGUAACGGCCUACCAAGCCAACGAUCAGUAGCCGAGAUGAGAGGGUGACCCGCCACAUUUGGAGUGAGACACGGCCCACACUCCUACGGGACGGAGGAGAGGGGAAUACUGCACAAUGGGGGAAACCCUGAUGCAGCGACGCCGCGUGAGCGAAGAAGUAUUUCGGUAUGUAAAGCGCUAUCAGCAGGGAAGAAAAUGACGGUACCUGACUAAGAAGCACCGGCUAAAUACGUG
This 479-nucleotide ribosomal RNA is filed under the name uncultured bacterium. RNAcentral describes it as "partial 16S ribosomal RNA". It matches the Rfam family "Bacterial small subunit ribosomal RNA", at positions 28 to 507 of the family's 1533-position model. The record is from RNAcentral.